GAUGAACGCUGGCGGUAUGCUUAACACAUGCAAGUCGAACGGACUCUUCGGAGUUAGUGGCGGACGGGUGAGUAACGCGUGAGAAUCUGCCUUCAGGUCGGGGACAACAGUUGGAAACGACUGCUAAUACCCGAUGUGCAGCAAUGUGAAAGAUUUAUCGCCUGAAGAUGAGCUCGCGUCUGAUUAGCUAGUGGGUGUGGUAAUGGCGCACCUAGGCGACGAUCAGUAGCUGGUCUGAGAGGAUGACCAGUCACACUGGGACUGAGACACGGCCCAGACUCCUACGGGAGGCAGCAGUGGGGAAUUUUCCGCAAUGGGCGAAAGCCUGACGGAGCAAUACCGCGUGAGGGACGACGGCUUUUGGGUUGUAAACCUCUUUUCCCUGGGAAGAAGAUCUGACGGUACCAGGGGGAAUCAGCAUCGGCUAACUUCGUGCCAGCAGCCGCGGUAAU
RNAcentral lists this ribosomal RNA (452 nucleotides) under uncultured cyanobacterium. RNAcentral's name for it is "bacterial SSU rRNA". It matches the Rfam family "Bacterial small subunit ribosomal RNA", at positions 28 to 524 of the family's 1533-position model. The record is from RNAcentral. Lineage: Bacteria; Bacillati; Cyanobacteriota.